This 736-nucleotide ribosomal RNA is filed under the name Bacillus subtilis. Its description in RNAcentral is "bacterial SSU rRNA". It matches the Rfam family "Bacterial small subunit ribosomal RNA", at positions 614 to 1350 of the family's 1533-position model. Lineage: Bacteria; Bacillati; Bacillota; Bacilli; Caryophanales; Bacillaceae. The record is from RNAcentral.
CGGGGAGGGUCAUUGGAAACUGGGGAACUUGAGUGCACAAAAGAAGAGAGUACUUCCACGUGUAGCGGAGAAAUGCGUAGAGAUGUGGAGGAACACCAGUGGCGAAGGCGACUCUCUGGUCUGUAACUGACGCUGAGGAGCGAAAGCGUGGGGAGCGAACAGGAUUAGAUACCCUGGUAGUCCACGCCGUAAACGAUGAGUGCUAAGUGUUAGGGGGCUUCCGCCCCUUAGUGCUGCAGCUAACGCAUUAAGCACUCCGCCUGGGGAGUACGGUCGCAAGACUGAAACUCAAAGGAAUUGACGGGGGCCCGCACAAGCGGUGGAGCAUGUGGUUUAAUUCGAAGCAACGCGAAGAACCUUACCAGGUCUUGACAUCCUCUGACAAUCCUAGAGAUACGACGUCCCCUUCGGGGGCAGAGUGACAGGUGGUGCAUGGUUGUCGCCAGCUCGUGUCGUGAGAUGUUGGGUUAAGUCCCGCAACGAGCGCAACCCUUGAUCUUAUUUGCCAGCAUUCAGUUGGGCACUCUAAGGUGACUGCCGGUGACAAACCGGAGGAAGGUGGGGAUGACGUCAAAUCAUCAUGCCCCUUAUGACCUGGGCUACACACGUGCUACAAUGGACAGAACAAAGGGCAGCGAAACCGCGAGGUUAAGCCAAUCCCACAAAUCUGUUCUCAGUUCGGAUCGCAGUCUGCAACUCGACUGCGUGAAGCUGGAAUCGCUAGUAAUCGCGGAUC